UGNNAANCGAGCCGGUGGCGUACCCUUUUAGGGAGCGAGCCGUCUAAGGUGGGACAAAUGAUUAGGGUGAAGUCGUAACAAGGUAGCCGUAGGAGAACCUGCGGCUGGAUCACCUCCUUUCUAAGGAAACAGACUGAAAGUCUGACGGAAACCUGCACACACGAAACUUUGUUUAGUUUUGAGGGGAUCACCCUCAAGCACCCUAACGGGUGCGACUUUGUUCUUUGAAAACUGGAUAUCAUUGUAUUAAUUGUUUUAAAUUGCCGAGAACACAGCGUAUUUGUAUGAGUUUCUGAAAAAGAAAUUCGCAUCGCAUAACCGCUGACGCAAGUCAGUACAGGUUAAGUUACAAAGGGCGCACGGUGGAUGCCUUGGCACUAGGAGCCGAUGAAGGACGGAACUAAUACCGAUAUGCUUCGGGGAGCUAUAAGUAAGCUUUGAUCCGGAGAUUUCCGAAUGGGGGAACCCAGUACACAUCAGUGUAUUGCUUGUCAGUUGAAUACAUAGCUGACCGGCGGCAGACGCGGGGAACUGAAACAUCUCAGUUACCCGCAGGAAGAGAAAGAAAACUCCAUUCCCCUUAUUACCGGCCAAGCCGAANUGGGAAAAAACCCAAACCCGAAAANCUUUGCUUUCUCGGGGGUUUUUUAGGAACUGGAACNNUGGGAAUUUUCCCAAAGUUGCGGACGGUUNUCAAAAAGUC
Molecule: unclassified non-coding RNA, 703 nt
Filed under: Lacticaseibacillus casei
Lineage: Bacteria; Bacillati; Bacillota; Bacilli; Lactobacillales; Lactobacillaceae
Description: Lactobacillus casei partial 16S-23S ribosomal RNA intergenic spacer
Rfam family: Bacterial large subunit ribosomal RNA (bases 340-703)
Source: RNAcentral